Molecule: ribosomal RNA, 573 nt
Filed under: uncultured bacterium
Lineage: Bacteria
Description: partial 16S ribosomal RNA
Rfam family: Bacterial small subunit ribosomal RNA
Source: RNAcentral
UGGGGAAUUUUGGACAAUGGGCGAAAGCCUGAUCCAGCAAUGCCGCGUGCGUGAAGAAGGCCUUCGGGUUGUAAAGCACUUUUGUCCGGAAAGAAAUCCUUGGCUCUAAUACAGUCGGGGGAUGACGGUACCGGAAGAAUAAGCACCGGCUAACUACGUGCCAGCAGCCGCGGUAAUACGUAGGGUGCAAGCGUUAAUCGGAAUUACUGGGCGUAAAGCGUGCGCAGGCGGUUUGCUAAGACCGAUGUGAAAUCCCCGGGCUCAACCUGGGAACUGCAUUGGUGACUGGCAGGCUAGAGUAUGGCAGAGGGGGGUAGAAUUCCACGUGUAGCAGUGAAAUGCGUAGAGAUGUGGAGGAAUACCGAUGGCGAAGGCAGCCCCCUGGGCCAAUACUGACGCUCAUGCACGAAAGCGUGGGGAGCAAAACAGGAUUAGAUACCCCUGGUAGUCCACGCCCUAAACGAUGUCAACUAGUUGUUGGGGAUUCAUUUCCUUAGUAACGUACUAACGCGUGAAGUUGACCGCCUGGGGAGUACGGUCGCAAGAUUAAAACUCAAAUGAAUUGACGGGGUC